Molecule: long non-coding RNA, 1560 nt
Filed under: Ananas comosus (pineapple)
Lineage: Eukaryota; Viridiplantae; Streptophyta; Magnoliopsida; Poales; Bromeliaceae
Description: long non-coding RNA (ACOM_LNC039484)
Source: RNAcentral
UCACCUCUGACUUAUGUUUUACCUCAAAUAAUCUAAUAAAAAUAGUUUCUCACACUAUUUUUAUUUAUUAUUAUUUUUUAUACCAUCUGGUAUUUACAUUCUCCACCCUUUAAAAAGAAUUUCGUCCGCGAAAUUCAACACACACUCAAUUCUCUCGAACAUUGGGCCUUUUCCUUCGGAAUGGCUUUACACUCUUUGGAACUAUCCAAAGGACUACUACGGAGCUCAUGAUACCAACGCAUCCAACUUUGCAAGGCACAUCUCACAAAGUGCAUUACAGUCUCCGUCACUCUAGGGGUAGCGCGAGUCGAAACUCGACGACUCUACGCGCUCUAACACCACUUGCCACUCGACCACAAAGAACUUUCUUUGCAUUGACUUCCCUUUCAGGGAAUACAUUCCUAUUCGUCACGACAUGCUUAAAAGCGAUAUCACACGGUGCAUCGUUUCGUCGUGAGUGCUCUAAUUUCGCACAGACCCUUAACUUUAUCGUGAGGUGGCCCACCUCGGCGCAUCCCAUUCAAUCCUCNNNNNNNNNNNNNNNNNNNNNNNNNAGAGAGCAAUCUAGAGAGAGAAAGAAGGGUUUCUCUCUCCCUUCUCCAUGCGCGCGUGGGUGGCCAUGGUGGUCGGCUGAAGAAGAAAGAAGCAAAAAGCUUCUUUAUACAUUACACCCCAAAACACUAUUCACCUCCAGGCAGCUUAAAAUCUGAUAACUUUCGCCGGAGCUCCCUGAAUCUCCGUUUGAGCUCAAACUUGACAGUCAUGUUCGGUUUUACUUAACUUAACAAGCUGACGAUCACUGGUUCAGUUUCGACCCCGUUUGGUCACUGAAAACUGUACCGAACUGCAAUCUUUAUCAGAUAGCUUUCGGAUUUUAUUUCUCACUCUAUGGGUGUCAGAAAAAUAUGAAACCUUAAAUCUAGCCUCAUAAAAAUAUUUCUGACAUCUCCGCCAAUUUUCAUAAUUUUCUGAGACUGUGCAUUUUCUGCUUAUUUUUCUGUCCCGUCUCCAACAGAAAAUUCUAGAUCUUCUGUUUUAAUUCCGAUUUCAGCACAAGUCACCUCUGACUUAUGUUUUACCUCUAUAAAUCUAAUAAAAAUAGUUUCUCACACUAUUUUUAUUUAUUAUUAUUUUUAUACCAAAAUCUGGUAUAUUACAUUCUCCACCCCUUAAAAAGAAUUUCGUCCGCGAAAUUCAAAACACACCUCAAUUCAGCUCUUCGAGCAAUUGUGGGCACCAACGCACUUUUUCACUUUGGAAUGGCUUUACACUCUUUGGAACUAUCCAAUAGGACUACUACGGAGCUCAUGAUACCAAACGCAUCCAACUUUGCAAGGCACAUCUCACAAAGUGCAUUACAGUCUCCGUCACUCUAGGGGGUAGCGCGAGUCGAAACUCGACGACUCUACGCGCUCUAACACCACUUGCCACUCGACACACAAAGAACUUUUCUUUGCAUUGACUUCCCUUUCAGGGAAUACAUUCCUAUUCGAUCACCGACAUUGCUUAAAAGCGAUAUCACCGGUGCAUCGUUUCGUCGUGAGUGCUCUAAUUUCGCAC